RNAcentral lists this ribosomal RNA (556 nucleotides) under Pandoraea sp. ISTKB. Its description in RNAcentral is "bacterial SSU rRNA". It matches the Rfam family "Bacterial small subunit ribosomal RNA", at positions 29 to 585 of the family's 1533-position model. The record is from RNAcentral. Lineage: Bacteria; Pseudomonadati; Pseudomonadota; Betaproteobacteria; Burkholderiales; Burkholderiaceae.
CCUUUCGUUGCGGAGCUUACCAUGCAGUCGACGGCAGCACGGGUGCUUGCACCUGGUGGCGAGUGGCGAACGGGUGAGUAAUAUAUCGGAACGUACCUUGUAGUGGGGGAUAGCUCGGCGAAAGCCGGAUUAAUACCGCAUACGCUCUGAGGAGGAAAGCGGGGGACCUUCGGGCCUCGCGCUACAAGAGCGGCCGAUAUCAGAUUAGCUAGUUGGUGAGGUAAAAGCUCACCAAGGCGACGAUCUGUAGCUGGUCUGAGAGGACGACCAGCCACACUGGGACUGAGACACGGCCCAGACUCCUACGGGAGGCAGCAGUGGGGAAUUUUGGACAAUGGGCGAAAGCCUGAUCCAGCAAUGCCGCGUGUGUGAAGAAGGCCUUCGGGUUGUAAAGCACUUUUGUCCGGAAAGAAAUCCUCUGGGUUAAUACCUCGGGGGGAUGACGGUACCGGAAGAAUAAGCACCGGCUAACUACGUGCCAGCAGCCGCGGUAAUACGUAGGGUGCAAGCGUUAAUCGGAAUUACUGGGCGUAAAGCGUGCGCAGGCGGUUUUGUA